RNAcentral lists this ribosomal RNA (1500 nucleotides) under Triticum aestivum (bread wheat). RNAcentral describes it as "partial small subunit ribosomal RNA". The record is from RNAcentral. Lineage: Eukaryota; Viridiplantae; Streptophyta; Magnoliopsida; Poales; Poaceae.
AUGGCGCUGCUGCAGCUGCAUCCGCCGCCGCUGGCGGCGCUCGGUCGCUCCGUUCUCCCCUGCCGCCCGUUCCCCUCCGCGACCGCGACCGCCCGCCGCUCCCUCGCCUCGGUCGCCUUCUCUCUCCAGACCAACGUGCGCCUCCUCAAGCCCAACCGCCGCUCCCGGCGCUCCCGCUACCCCUACUACGACCUCGACGACGAUGAAGAGGAAGAAGAUGAGGAGUACGACGAGGACGACGAGAGCGAGGACGAUUUGUCAGGUUUGGAGUAUCCUGGUGUCCUUUAUACAAACAACCCGCGUGCUCCGAACAAGAGAGCAGGACGAAAAACACAACUGGUGAAAGAAAAUUGGGAAGGAAGGCGGCCCAAAACUCGUGAUAAACAUGCUAGUCCAGGAAGGUCUAAUUCCCUCCACCCCAGGAGCAAAAUAAACAGAACAUUGCUGAAUCUUACAAGCAUGAACAGUAAAGUAGAGUUGAAAAAUGAAAGUAUCUCUCGGAGUCUGUUUCAAAAAUUGCAAGAAGAAUAUGACUUUGAUGACAAAUGGUUACCCCUUAUUGAUUACCUGUGCUCAUUUGGACUGAGGGAAUCCCAUUUUACUUACAUUUAUGAGAGACACAUGGCUUGCUUGCAAAUCAACCGGGCUUCUGCAGAAGAAAGGUUGGAGUUCCUUCUAAGUGUUGGUGUUAAAAGCAAGGAUCUGAAGAGGAUGCUGGUCAGACAGCCGCAAAUUUUGGAAUACACUCUCAGCAAUCUGAAGUCUCAUGUUGCUUUUUUGGCUGGCAUUGGUGUUCCGGAUGCACGUAUGGGGCAAAUUAUUUCUUCUGCCCCUUCAUUUUUAUCUUACAGUAUUGAGCAGUCCCUGAAGCCAACUAUAAGCUAUUUGAUUGAGGAAGUGGGUAUUGAGGAGAGCGAUGUGGGGAAAGUGGUGCAGCUAAGCCCUCAGAUUCUGGUGCAGCGAAUUGAUAAUGCGUGGAAAUCUCGAUUUCUUUUUCUCUCAAAAGAACUAGGGGCUCCCAAAGAUAGCAUUGUCAAAAUGGUCACAAAGCACCCACAGCUGCUUCAUUACAGCAUUGAGGAGGGCAUCUUGCCUCGAAUCAAUUUCCUUAGAAGCAUUGGCAUGAGAAACUCUGAUAUUCUCAAAAUAUUGACAAGUCUUACUCAGGUGCUAUCUUUGUCGGUGGAGAAAAAUCUCAAACCAAAGUAUCUUUAUUUGGUCAAUGACCUUAAGAAUGAGGCUCAAUCCCUGACGAAGUACCCCAUGUACUUGAGCUUGUCUCUCGAGCAGAGAAUUCGUCCCCGUCACCGUUUUCUUGUUUCAUUGAAGAAAGCUCCAAAGGGCCCAUUUCCUCUUAGCUCCUUUGUGCUUACAGAUGAGCGUUUUUGCCAGCGGUUGGCUGGGACGAGCUUAGAGAAGUACCAUACAUUUAGACAGAGCUUGCUGCUGUCAGGUUUCGAAGAUAAGACUGGAAGGAAACCAUUGGCAUCACGACGGUAG